Molecule: ribosomal RNA, 454 nt
Filed under: uncultured bacterium
Lineage: Bacteria
Description: partial 16S ribosomal RNA
Rfam family: Bacterial small subunit ribosomal RNA
Source: RNAcentral
GAUGAACGCUGACAGAAUGCUUAACACAUGCAAGUCUACUUGAACUUCGGUUUGGGUGGCGGACGGGUGAGUAACGCGUAAAGAACUUGCCUCACAGUUAGGGACAACAUUUGGAAACGAAUGCUAAUACCUGAUAUUAUGAUUCUAGGGCAUCCUAGGAUUAUGAAAGCUAUAUGUGCUGUGAGAGAGCUUUGCGUCCCAUUAGCUAGUUGGAGAGGUAACGGCUCACCAAGGCGAGGAUGGGUAGCCGGCCUGAGAGGGUGAACGGCCACAAGGGGACUGAGACACGGCCCUUACUCCUACGGGAGGCAGCAGUGGGGAAUAUUGGACAAUGGACCAAAAGUCUGAUGCAGCAAUUCUGUGUGCACGAUGACGUUUUUCGGAAUGUAAAGUGCUUUCAGUUGGGAAGAAAAAAAUGACGGUACCAACAGAAGAAGUGACGGCUAAAUACGUG